UAACUUGUAACCUAUGAACAAAUUGAGGUCACACGGCCAAGUCACACGCCUAUGUGCUAGGUCGUGUGGAACAUUAUUUUUCAUAAAAUAAGUGCAGACUUCACACGGCCAUAGGCACACGCCCGUGUUUGAGGCCGUGUUGCCCACACGACUGAGAUAUACGCCCGCAUCUCUGCCCGUCUGCUAAAUUCUGAGCAUUCUGU
RNAcentral lists this long non-coding RNA (203 nucleotides) under Gossypium barbadense (sea-island cotton). Its description in RNAcentral is "long non-coding RNA (GBAR_LNC007359)". Lineage: Eukaryota; Viridiplantae; Streptophyta; Magnoliopsida; Malvales; Malvaceae. The record is from RNAcentral.